AUACGGAGGGUGCAAGCGUUGUUCGGAAUCACUGGGCGUAAAGCGCGUGUAGGCGGUCUCUUAAGUCUGGUGUGAAAGCCCGGGGCUCACCCCCGGAAGGGCACUGGAUACUGAGAGGCUAGAGUACCGGAGAGGAGGGUGGAAUUCCUGGUGUAGCGGUGAAAUGCGUAGAUAUCAGGAGGAACACCGGUGGCGAAGGCGGCCCUCUGGACGGCUACUGACGCUGAUACGCGAAAGCGUGGGGAGCAAACAGGAUUAGAUACCCUGGUAGUCCACGCCCUAAACGAUGGGUACUAGGUGUUCGGGGUAUUGACCCCUCGAGUGCCGCAGCUAACGCAUUAAGUACCCCGCCUGGGGAGUACGGCCGCAAGGUUAAA
This 377-nucleotide ribosomal RNA is filed under the name uncultured bacterium. RNAcentral's name for it is "bacterial SSU rRNA". It matches the Rfam family "Bacterial small subunit ribosomal RNA", at positions 523 to 898 of the family's 1533-position model. The record is from RNAcentral.